RNAcentral lists this non-coding RNA (188 nucleotides) under uncultured Succiniclasticum sp. Lineage: Bacteria; Bacillati; Bacillota; Negativicutes; Acidaminococcales; Acidaminococcaceae. The record is from RNAcentral.
CGUCGCAAGGCGGAAUCCGAAGGAAGCCGGAUGUCAAUGUGAGGAACGUUGGCGGGCAAAUCUCUGACCUGACGAACAGAAACCACAUACAAGGCAGGAGUAACCGGGUAAGGUUGCAUAACAAACUGAAGCCCCAAACGACUCGAGGCCAAUCCUGUAGAUGUGGCAGGCAGAUGGAGAGAAAGACU